CUGCACACCCCACGCAUUUGUCUCACUUGGUCCCUGGCUACCUGAAAGAGGACCCAGGGGGCUGGGAAUGGAGAAGGUGGGGGAACGUGUCAGAGGUACUGUGAGGCUGUAUUGUCUCAUAUUGCCUUCUCUAGAAAAGGUGUUUAAAAAUAGACAACUGGGGAGCGCUGGUCUGAUACUAAUGAAAGAGAGAAAAAGAAGCAUCAAGAUCCAGAGAACUAAACUCAUCCUGACAGAGAUCCGGUGAACAAAAGAAUUCGUCUUUCGCUGCCUGAAGAGCUUGGUCCCUAUGACCCACCUGCCCAGGCGUUUCCUACAGCUGAUGUUUGAAGAAACCACCAGAAAUCACAAGACCCGGCAAUUUCAAAAUGCAACCCAUAAAGCUAAUUGCAAUUCUUCAUGUAUCCUCUGCCUCAGGAAGGAGCCAGCUCCUGUAUCCCUACCUGCAGAGAAGCUGUUUCUUCUCCAUUGACGGUGCUGCUUUCUGCUCUAUCUAGCCAGCCUCUUUGUGCUUGGAGAUGUCCUCACGCACUGUGUCCUCAGGGACUCUUGGCUCCCUUCCCUGCAGGUCACCACCAAAGACACCCAGGGGCACAGGCAGCUCUCCUGCUGUUUGUCUUCCCCACUGAAAGGGGGAUAGAGGCCACAUUCCUUACAAAUCCAACCCAAAACAGGGGCUGAAGUAUUGACAUUCCCCACCUGAGAUGCACCUCCGUGGUGCAGACCAAAAUCAAAGCUUGUCUUCAUGUGCAGAUGCAGCCAGACUGAUCUCACUGACCCCUUAAACCAAGAGGUAGGGAGCUGCUCUUCUCUGAGAAUGGGACAUAUACUUCAGGAUGUAUCUUCUGUUUAUGGCCAUCAGUACAGCAGCCUGGGCACAAACCCAUGAUGACAUAGCUUUGGCCUCCUUUAAAUAUCCUAUACAAAACUCAUCAUACCCAGAGGAACUGGAAACACUGGAGAGGGGAGCCUUACAGCUUCCACAUCGCAGCUAGCUCGUCAACCUGAGCUCCUUGGAGUCCAGGCAAUGCGAGUGCAUGUCCCACUGCUUCUCUUCAUGCAGGCAUGAUGUGAAAAAUACACUUCAGCCUUAUUUUCAUAAAUGUACAAGAUGACAAUGCCACCACUGCAGUCAGUCUUGUGAUAUUUUUUCCUCCAUCUAUGUUCCAAUGAAAGAACAUUGUGUUUAGCUUGUGAAAUGUAAAUAUCUCAAAUCAUAGGAAAAUGUACAAUAGUUGCAUUUUGUUAUAAACAAUCAGUACCCACUAGGAAAAUGCUAGAAGAAUGAAACCCUCUUCCUGUUGAUUGUGCAUGCUAUGCUUUCAGGCAAAAUGGCAUUUCCCUCCAAGACCUGAUGCUCCAUUCUUUCCCAGCAUUUGCUAUUGACAUAACUUCCUAAGUUAUUGUUAUUCCUCUUAUUGAUUAUUAUUGCCAAUACAUGGAAGGCUCACACCAGCAUCCAGCUCCUUCAAAGGCAAAAUGGAUAUCCUCACAAAAAAUCAUGGAGGUAGAGGAAGGUGUGAAAGACCAGAAUUAAUAAAUGGGGGUGCCAACUGUACAAGAACUAUUGUAGUCUAUGCACCUGUUUGUCUGAAUGUGUUAUUCUAUGCAGAAUGAGGAAAUUCUAACAUUGAAGUUACUGCAGGAACUGAGUUGUGCAGAUCAAAGUGAUAAUUACCAUGUUCUAGAAAUCCUUAUUUUUGAUGAUGAGGUUUUUUAAGCCUAUAACAACACAUAGCUCCAAUUGCAAAAGCUUAAAAUUGCCUCUUCAGUAGAAGCAGAGCUUUGAUUUCAUCUAAUUUGACCCUUCCACCGCACUUGUAAGUGCACUCCAGCAUGGCUAGAGAUAAAAACUUUGAAAUUUAAAUGUGCAACUUGCAGCCAGGGUUGGAUUUGCGAGCUAGGACACAGAGUACCUUUUGAUGAGCAGCAGUUUUCAUUACAGCUGUCAGAAAAUACCUCCCCAUUAGGAAGUGAUGAGUACAUUUAAUUCAAGUCCAACCCUUCCAACACCAUCACUUACAGACACUCUUCUGGUCUGUGAGUGAGGUUCUAAUAAUACACUGAGCCGUGUGGGACACACCAGGGUGAUUAAUGCUUGGAUGUGAACAUACAGUGCACAGAGUAUAUAUUUCCCCCUUAAAUGAAUAUAUCUGGUUUUCAUUGAUAUUGAGGUAGAUUUGCUCUGUACUUGCUCACAUGAGGAAGCCUAGAACUGUGGGAUGUAUCAUUCAGUAAUAGCUCCUGAUAACAGUAACACUUGGAACGCGACAAAGUAAAAAAUGUGAAUUCAUAUUCACUUUUAAUAAACUGGGGUAAUUAGUCAGUUGAAAUGCAAUAGAAAGUGACAGCCUGUGACACAUAAAAGACUGCAGACUGACAAAGACAGAGCUAUUCUUCAUUGCGCUAACAUCCGUUUCUUCAUCAACAUUGAAUUUUUUCAGUCUCUUGGCAUUUCAAUUACAUUAUAAAAUGAAGGGCUAAAAUCCUGGCUCUGCAUUUUUUCCUCUCCUCUUUGAGACUAAAGAAAAGAGAUGAGAAAAACCAUCUCUGCUGUUUCUGUACCCCCUGAAAUGAUGUCAGUGGGCCAUGGUGUCCAGAGUACCUGUGAAGUGUGCAGGAGAAGGUGUUCAGCCUUGGCAUCAUCAAGGUGCUCCCAGGUCUGUGAAAUCCCGCCAAAGGGAACCCCCUGGAAGACAAAGAGAAUGAGGCAAAAUACGUAAAAAAGCAGCAAAAACAUUUACGGGUAAACCAAAUUUAACCAUGAAACUCCAGAGUCACCAAACGCUCCUUUACUCUUUGCUGGCAUCAUAGGUAUUUCCCUCUGCAUCCCCAGCGCUCAACACCUAAUGGGUGUCUGAUGGGGUGGUCAGGUAACUGAUUUCUGACAGUGUCACAUUUCCACCUCACCUGCUCCCCCUUUCCCCUGUGCUCCCAUCCCUUGUUGAGCUGCACUACAGGGUGCAGAGACUCAAGUGCAGGGAGUGGCAGCAUGGCUGGCAGGGCAGUGCCCUCACCCACAUAGGAUGCAGCCCCAUGGUACUCCAAGCAGAGCAGGUAUGGUGAUGGUACCAGGGUCAGCCACAGCAUGGGUCACCAGGGUGUAAAUACAGCUCCCAGACCAAGAUGGGGGGCCCAGCAGGGCUUCUCCCCACUCAUCUCUCAUGGCACACCCAGCGCCUGGAUACCCCUUAGCUUCUGUUGGCUCUGGUGCAUGCUGGACACCUCGGUGAAGUCAUGUAACUUGCUGUGUCAGCAUAAAACUAAUUCCUCUCCCUAAAAAGGAUAGCUUUCUGCUCAGUUAGCAAAAUGGAAGUAACCUGUGAGAGACCCGACCAUUUCCAGAGCUGGUAGAAGCAGAAGAGAAGGAUUGUGGCAACAGGACCAAGAGACGAAGGAGGAAAAUAGAAGGAGGAAGGUAGAGCUUUCCUUUCCACUCUCUUUUAGGGAGCAGCAGCGAGUCAGGUGGUUUUGCCUAAGAAAUUCCUGAUACUUAGUUUCCCCUUUUUCAUGAUGAUUUUUUAUAAGGUCCUCAUUUGAAGACAUAAAUGGUGUUACCAUCAUUUCAUCAUUUGAUACGGUUAAGCCUACAUAUAGCAAAGCAGUACCUUUUAUUUAGAUCACCUGAGACAACAGUAAAAGCCAGACCAGCUUUUAGGCACGUGAGUCCUUCCUCAGGACUGAAGUAGCCUCACUCACCACCUUGGAGCAACCUGGUGACCAGAGCACUGCUACUCUUCCCACCAUUCAGGUCCUCUGAAAAUCUUACCAUAAACCUUCAGCAGAUAGAAAGAAGUGAGAAGGAAGUAUUUUUACAUGAAGAACAAAUUACAUUUAAAUUCUUUUUUUUAAUGACAUCAGGACAUUUUGCUGUGAAAAGCCUUAGCUUGUUGACUGGUGAAACAUCAAUGACUUACCUCCCAGGCAUGCUAUUUUGUUAAUUUUUAUGUAUAGUUUUGAAAGCCUCAGAUGGAAGGCACCAAGGCUGAGCUGUAUUAUUUUCUCAGAAGCCUCAUGGUCUUAUUUAGUUCAUAUGUCAAAGCAGCUUUUAAUUUCUCAGCUGUGGGACUCAAGUCUUAAAAUACACCAGAAGCCAGAAACUCUCCUUUAAGUACCUGAAUGAAAGGGUCAGGUUUUCAACUGUUUCUAGACUCCUGCAGUUCCUAUUGUUUUAAUAGAGAUGUGCUGUUCAGGAAACUUAGCUUCCAGCUGUAGGCAUGAACUUCUGCUGUUGUGACCUAAUGCUUCACAGCUCAAUCACUACUUCUAUCACUGCAGCGAAAAAUGGAUCUGGAGGGGACAUGUAGUCUAACUAGCAUCCACAGAAAAAUGGUGAUGACCUGAACUACCUUCCACUGCCUACCUUUGAGUCUUAUUUUUCAGUGAAAAAGAAGUAAUCUUUGCAGAAGUGAAAUAAGGAACCAUAUAUUUUGAAUAGAUCUUACAAAUCUCAGAGAGAGGGUAAAAGGCGAAACUGUGUUAGCAACACUGUUGAAAUUACUCUUUUGUGAACCAUUUUGUUGAAAAACACAGCUCUGAGGUGUGCCUUUGAGUCCGUUCAUCAGUCUCUUAGGUGUUCUGCAGAAAGUGCAAGCUGGGCACUGUGAUAGGUUGCUGAAGGCACCUCUUUUUCAUUCUCUAACUGGACUUCCUGUGUCUGACAUCUCUCUUCUAUCAACAGUAAAAUGGUUUUUUGGUAACUGGGUAAACCAAAAUUCUGAAUUUUAAGCAGCCAGGGAUAUGAGCUUGAACCUGUGCUUAUAAACUUGAAAUUCAUUGCUUAUAAAUGUUUGAGCAAAAUUGAGGCUGUAUGAAUUAGUCUUCCAAAAGAGGCAUGAAGAGAUUUGAUCUGAAGCGCAGGCAAGUUCCUCGAGUGGUGUAAGUAUUGACUUGGGUGUUGGCACUGGUGAAACUAAACCAUUUUACACCAGCUGAGGGCUCUGUGUAUGUUUUUUUAAAUUCAGGGAACUUUUCACAGAUAGAGUUUUGUUCUUGCCCUGUUUAGCCAGCAAUAUUCAUGAUGAGAAAGAGCGUGUUUCUCUGCCAGGUCACUGCAGAAGUGAGAUAAAUGCGCAGAUGAUGAAGAAGUCUUAAUCAUAGUUUACUUUUAACCCUUAGAUUUUGUUCAUUACCUCUCGAGUUACUCGUUCUAGCAAAUCACCUUGGCUCUGGCAGAAAAAGCAAGAGAAAAAAACUGGAACCUGUUUUCACCUUAAGCAGCCAAGUGGUUAAAGGACUGGCAUGUAAACAGCACCACUACACCUAUGCUGUAUUAUGAAGUCCAGUGGGAUUCUGCUUUAAUCUUGAGAGGGAGUGUGAGGGGUUUGUUUUUCACAGGGGCUUUAGCCUACAGUUAAGUGCAAACACCUGCUGAAGUACUGGUAAUUAGUAGGUAAUUAGUAGCUAAUGUUCUUAGAAUUUAAAAAGAAAAGCUUACAUAAGUAAUUACUUACUAUUUCUUAUAAUGUGCUGCUUUUCCUGAGAUUUCAUAUCCCCAGAACAUUUGCCAAGUUCCUAGGUUCCUCAACAUACUAAAUUGUUUAUUAAUUACACACGUAUAUUGCUUGUAGAAAAAAAUAAAAUACAUUAAACCGCUGGAAACAGGAGUGAGUUAUCUUUUAAAUUACAGCACAAGACUCACUGAAAAUGACAGAAUUUGCAGAGGGUAACAGCUUUAGGAGGAGCAUUAAUUUGGGGCUGGGGGAGGAGGAUGGUGGUGGCUGGAGCAAUGAAAGCAACAGCUGGGUAGCCCAGAAUGCUUUCCUUUUUCUUGGAUGGGGGAUACAGAGGCACAGAGUGAGAACCAGGCUUUGUGGUGGGUGUUUUGCUCAGGCUAGUAAAUGUUUAGUGCAGCUGUGGACCCCCAAUUGGAUUCAUGCUUUCCCAGUUCUAUUCACACAUUUCAGGUGUGCUAAGAGUUGGGGGCUGCUUUGGCUCUGCAGCAAAGCGGUUUGAGUACUAUUUCACCUCUUGCAGGAGGAUCUUUUUUGGAUCAAUGGAAGAGCUAAAACAUCUGCCUCGUCAAACUCUUUCUGCAGCCAGCACUCACCAUUUUCAUAUAUGAGAAGUAUUAUGGCAAAGCCAUGCUUUUCUACAUGCUUUAGACCAGAGCUAACAGAUGAUGCAGCUAUUGAGGCUGCGAUUGCACUUACCAGCUGCCAGCCUUGCUGUUGCAGCAUGUAGGACAUGCUUUAUACAGAGGCAGAAAAGCAGAAUGCCUGCUGAGGUCCAUUCGUGACUGAAUGCUUCUCACCAUGUGUCCUCCCGUAGGACCCGGGCCGCAGCUCAGCAUAAGCCUCUUCCUACAGGGCAGUAGGGGACACACACCCCCUCUCCUCUCUGAUGAUGACUCUCCUGUGAGGUACAGUGCAUACAAAAGCAGGUUUAAUGUCAGCAAGGACCAUAUAAGGGUGAAUCAUAGUUCUACAGAGUAGUCCUUGCAGGGAAGACGUUGAAUUUUGCCCUCUGAGCUCCUGCACGGGAGGGUGGAACAAAAAAGCUUUAGGAGAUCUGCCAUCUUCCCUGAACCUAUGCUGUGCAGCAGGGCCCUGGGGACAACUCAGCUAUGUCUGGAUUUUCUCAUGUAGGACAGGGGGUUUUGGAAGACCUGAGAUGGGAAAACCUCCCCACUUUUCAAGGAAGCUCAGCAACUUGAAGGAGCAGCCUUCCAGACCAUGGUCAUGGCAAUGGUGGGGAAUGCCUCUGGAGAAAUCUCAGCUCCUAACUUCCUUUAUCUUGUCUUACCCCAUUUUAACUAGGAUUCUGUAAACUAAGAACUUCUGGGGAGCCUGGCCAGGGCUGUGAUGCUUUAACAGAAAGGUAAUUCAAUUGAAGGUGGAUCCGCUCUGUAAGGAUAAGCCAUGAAGAAGUGCUUUUUUUAUAGUUAUUAUUCAGAGUUUUGUUUUUAGCUUGGCACUGAAUAAGAAAAAACAAACAAACAUUCACAAAUUGGACUAAUUGAGAUUAAAGCUGCUGGUAGGCACCAACUUAGCAUACAGCUUGGGCUUCCUCAGGGUUUUAGGUCCUCUAGCAUUCUUAUUAUUUCUUUCCAAUCAAUUAAGCUGAAUGCAAAUGGCAAAAACUAAAAUUAAGAAAAAAAUAAAACAAAGGGAAAAAUCACUUCCAGAAAAAAACCCCAAAACACCCCAAGGGUGGGGGAGAGUUGGCUGUUUCAGCCAUAAGUAGCUCUGGAGAAAAACACCCACAUUUUCAUGCAGAGUUUUAAUACAAGCUGAUUAAUCUCUUUGAGGUAUACACCUUGGAAGGCUCCAAGCCCAGCUGUAUCUUAAUAGCAACUAAUAUCAACUCCUCUCACACAGAGCCAGCAACUCUCUGAGGAGGUGCUUAAGUGCUAGGGCAGCAUUUGUUUCCUGAGCUGUGGGUCUGCUCUCUCCUGAAGACAAACCAGGCACUCCUUUGUCAUUCAACUUUGCUUUAGAUGCAUACAACAUUUACCACGACUCAGGUUUUCCUGAACUGCAAAUGGCAUUGCCUGUUAGGACAAAGAAAAACUCUGAAUGAAGGCAUCCUAGGUGAUGAAGAGAUUUGUCCUUGCAAAGUCCUUAUGAAAGAGUGGCUUUGUGUCUCUCGCAGCAUUUCUUUCAGUGAAAAAGUGCUAGCUUCAUUUUUUAAUUAAAAAUAGUGCAUGCUUCAUACUUACGUGGUAAUGAUUUGUAAAAGUAUUUAUGUUUCCUAAAUAAGCAGUAAUUAAAAAAAUUAAACAGCAAAUCUGCAGCCCUUUAGGAGCUAUUUCCUGCCACUGUGCUAUGCACCAGGGAUGCGUGAGGCUUCCUAAUCAUUGCUGGGGACCAAAAAGCAGAUUAUUUGUGCUUCAAAGGCAUCGGUCUGUACAUCCAAAUUACAAAGUACUAUCCCUAUUAGUGGUGUAGGACUGAGAAUGGAGUUGUUGUGAUUCACUCUAAAAGGAAAAUGUACCCAUCAGCCUGUCUAUUUUAAUUCUUCAUUCUCAUAGCACGUUUUGCUCAGAAGGAGAAGCUAAGUUACUGUGGAGGGAGGUAUGGUAAGAAUAUUGACACAGGAGGAUAGUCUCAUAUUCUUCGAAUUGCAAUAGAAAACUGCUUUAAAGAGCACAGAAAUACCACCCAGCAGUUUGAGAAAGGAAGAGUAAUUAAUUAAAAUAAUUUUGAACACAAAUUGGCAUUAAAGUACAGACACAAUUUGGCCAGGACAUCGCAUGAAUGUACCUUGCCAAAGGGUUUAUGGCAUUAAAUUAUCUAAUCUAGCCAUGCUUUCAGACCCGAACAAAAGACCCAUUCUAUAACUCAGUCACCUCUGUGGGCCCACUCCAUGUACCCUGGGGUUCCUAAUGCAGUCUUAUUUAGCUUUUUCAUAAAGACCAACCUUGAAUAGAUGUGGUAUUUUUACUCUUUCUCCAGCAUGCUACUUGAGACAUGUCUCACCACAAAGACCCAAUUCAGUUACCUAAUCAGAAAUUUCAAAUGCUGUUUAAGAUGUCCGAGACAUCCACCAAGGCCAGCAGAUGUAACACAUCACCAAGGAAAGGCUCAUGGCUUUCUGGACCAGGAACUACUUCUUGUCCCAUAUGUCUAAUGGAAAUACCAGACUGAUGGUGUAGUGAUAUGAGCUGGUGUUGUGAUGUAGUGACAACACGUGUGAAUUUCACUGUGGUAGCCAGUUUCAUUAUUAUCAAGCAACAUAUUCUUACUACACUCAGAAUAUUGUUUGUUUUGAUUCUCUAUGAAAAUUUAGAACCAGAAGGAAAACAGUUUUUCUGAGGCUACUACAUCUUCCUGGAGAGUUACUAGAGAGAUGAGCUGGAUAAUGGCAUUUUCAGUUUGAUUCCUGAAAACUGGUUUGAUUUCAGAUCAGUCAUUUUACUUUUGAUGUAAACUGAUGGCAGAUAACAGAGCAAAAAUACACAUGUUCUUCUUUGUCUGAGUCUCAACUGAUGCAUCAUUUAUCCAGCUGAUGUAUCAAUUCGCACAUGAAAAGCUGUGUGCAAAUAACACAGGACAACGUUUAUGCAUUGUAGGCUAAUUUUGCUCUCAGUUAUAUCCAUUCCACUUCAAUCCAUUCAUUGGGGUUGACAGGUGUAAAUGAGAGCAGAUGAUUUUUUCUUUGUGACCUUAUACAGAAAUGAAUGAGAUCCUUCAGGACUUGGUUGCCUGUACAUUUAUAACAAUAAAGCAAUCAAAGUGAUCA
Molecule: long non-coding RNA, 9183 nt
Organism: Strigops habroptila (Kakapo)
Lineage: Eukaryota; Metazoa; Chordata; Aves; Psittaciformes; Psittacidae
Exons: 3
Source: RefSeq, a predicted model, not a curated record